RNAcentral lists this ribosomal RNA (1408 nucleotides) under uncultured bacterium. Its description in RNAcentral is "bacterial SSU rRNA". It matches the Rfam family "Bacterial small subunit ribosomal RNA". The record is from RNAcentral.
UUAGAGUUUGAUCCUGGCUCAGGAUGAACGCUAGCUACAGGCUUAACACAUGCAAGUCGAGGGGAAACGGCAUUGAGUGCUUGCACUCUUUGGACGUCGACCGGCGCACGGGUGAGUAACGCGUAUCCAACCUUCCCAUUACUGUGGGAUAACCUGCCGAAAGGCAGACUAAUACCGCAUAGUCUUCGAUGACGGCAUCAGAUUUGAAGUAAAGAUUUAUCGGUAAUGGAUGGGGAUGCGUCUGAUUAGCUUGUUGGCGGGGUAACGGCCCACCAAGGCAACGAUCAGUAGGGGUUCUGAGAGGAAGGUCCCCCACAUUGGAACUGAGACACGGUCCAAACUCCUACGGGAGGCAGCAGUGAGGAAUAUUGGUCAAUGGACGGAAGUCUGAACCAGCCAAGUAGCGUGCAGGAUGACGGCCCUAUGGGUUGUAAACUGCUUUUGUAUGGGGAUAAAGUUAGGGACGUGUCCCUAUUUGCAGGUACCAUACGAAUAAGGACCGGCUAAUUCCGUGCCAGCAGCCGCGGUAAUACGGAAGGUCCAGGCGUUAUCCGGAUUUAUUGGGUUUAAAGGGAGCGUAGGCUGGAGAUUAAGUGUGUUGUGAAAUGUAGACGCUCAACGUCUGACUUGCAGCGCAUACUGGUUUCCUUGAGUACGCACAACGUUGGCGGAAUUCGUCGUGUAGCGGUGAAAUGCUUAGAUAUGACGAAGAACUCCGAUUGCGAAGGCAGCUGACGGGAGCGCAACUGACGCUUAAGCUCGAAGGUGCGGGUAUCAAACAGGAUUAGAUACCCUGGUAGUCCGCACAGUAAACGAUGGAUGCCCGCUGUUGGUACCUGGUAUCAGCGGCUAAGCGAAAGCAUUAAGCAUCCCACCUGGGGAGUACGCCGGCAACGGUGAAACUCAAAGGAAUUGACGGGGGCCCGCACAAGCGGAGGAACAUGUGGUUUAAUUCGAAGCAACGCGAAGAACCUUACCAAGUCUUGACAUACUGUGAGGACACAAGAGAUUGUGUUGUUCUGACCUUUGGUUAGACACAGAUACAGGUGGUGCAUGGUUGUCGUCAGCUCGUGUCGUGAGAUGUUGGGUUAAGUCCCGCAACGAGCGCAACCCUUAUAUCUAGUUGCCAGCAGUAAGAUGGGGACUCUAGAUAGACUGCCAGUGAUAAACUGGAGGAAGGUGGGGAUGACGUCAAAUCAUCAUGCCCCUUAUGACUUGGGCUACACACGUGCUACAAUGGAUGGUACAACGAGCAGCGAACUCGCGAGGGUAAGCGAAUCUCUUAAAGCCAUUCUCAGUUCGGAUUGUAGGCUGCAACUCGCCUACAUGAAGCCGGAAUCGCUAGUAAUCGCGGAUCAGCACGCCGCGGUGAAUACGUUCCCGGGUCUUGCACUCACCGCCCGUCAAG